GACGAACGCUGGCGGCGUGCUUAACACAUGCAAGUCGAACGGUGAAGCGCCUUCCUUUUUGGUGGGUGUGGAUGAGUGGCGAACGGGUGAGUAACACGUGAGUAACCUGCCCCCUUCUUCUGGAUAACCGCAUGAAAGUGUGGCUAAUACGGGAUAUUCUGGGUCUGUCGCAUGAUGGGUCUGGGAAAGAUAUUGUUUCGGUGGGGGAUGGGCUCGCGGCCUAUCAGCUUGUUGGUGGGGUGAUGGCCUACCAAGGCGGUGACGGGUAGCCGGCCUGAGAGGGUGGACGGUCACACUGGGACUGAGACACGGCCCAGACUCCUACGGGAGGCAGCAGUGGGGAAUAUUGCACAAUGGGCGCAAGCCUGAUGCAGCGACGCCGCGUGAGGGAUGGAGGUCUGCGGGUUGUGAACCUCUUUCGCCAGUGAAGCAGGCCUGCCUCGUUUGUGGGUGGGUUGACGGUAGCUGGAUAAGAAGCGCCGGCUAACUACGUG
This 494-nucleotide ribosomal RNA is filed under the name uncultured bacterium. RNAcentral's name for it is "partial 16S ribosomal RNA". It matches the Rfam family "Bacterial small subunit ribosomal RNA", at positions 28 to 507 of the family's 1533-position model. The record is from RNAcentral.